GUCCAGUUGCGUAGUGGUGUAGCGCGCGGCGGAUCAAUCAUGAGUCGUGGUUCGUGGAUUAUGGCAGCCGGGAGCCCUGUUCGACUCAGGGACUGGACC
Lyophyllum atratum is the source of this 99-nucleotide non-coding RNA. The record is from the annotation of a GenBank genome assembly. NCBI's taxonomy places the organism in Eukaryota, Fungi, Basidiomycota, Agaricomycetes, Agaricales, Lyophyllaceae.